ACGCACAUCAUCAUAACAACCUCACUCAAACCAAUACAGCUCAAACCAACUCAACUCAAACCAACUCAACUCACAUCAUCAUAACAACUUAACUCAGACCAACACAACUCAACUCACAUCAUCAUAACAACUCAACUCAAACCAACUCAACUCACAUCAUCAUAACAACCUCACUCAAACCAACUCAACUCAACUCAACUCACAUCAACAUAACAACUCAACUCAAACCAACAAAACUCACAUAAUCAUAACUCAACAGUUCUACUCGCCAACUCUAACAAACAGCUCAACUCCACAACAUAACAAUGAUUCAUCCUCUCAACCAACAGCACAACAACUCAACUCACAACUAUUCGACCCAUCGGAUCAACUCUAGUACAUUGGACCAUCAGGCAGUGCUUCACGUUUGGGUGGAUAAUGGUGGAUUGAUCUGGCUGUAGUAAUUCUACCCCUAGAGAACAUGAUGGUGGAGAGAGUAUUACUGUUAUUUCUUUCCUGUUUGUCUUGUUAAGGUUUUCUGACUUUUCACUGGGCAUAUUCUACUGAGUCAGCUCUGUUCAAGCCUGUUUAAGUUGCUUUGAAGGAUAAAAAGAGUGCGCAUGUGUGUGUGUGCACACUUGUCUUAAACGGAGGACAUUCUCCCUCAGCAAAACGUCUCACUUUUCCCACAUCCGUUCUUUUUCUCAUUCGAUACAAUGCCAUAUUGAUCUUCUGCGUCUAAUAAACGACGACCUGAAUACACCGGUCCAAUGUCCAGACUCAUCUUUUUUGCCAAAUUUCUGACACGUUAGACAGCGAACCAAACCAGGUAACAAAUCAUCAUGUGACAACCGACCGACUCGGAAAGGGACCAAACAGAAUCCAGAGCCAGGACGCUAAGGACAGCAGGCGCUGUAUAACAUUGUCUUCCAGAUCAACCAGUUCAUUUUUCAUUCUAUGCCUAAAUAAGGAAGUGACAGAGUAUGGGUUGUAAAAAGUCAGCUUUGGUUAAGGAGGCGUGGCCUCUGUGCCCGUAAGUGUCCCAUCAGAUCAUCGAUCAAGUUCCGCAUCAAAUCAUCUGGGAAAGCGACAUGCACCGCUAGAACAGAGUGUUCUCCGUGCUGCUCAUUUGCAUUCAGUCUGACUAUUUAUAUCUGCCGGAAUUACACAAGUCAAAACAAAGUAUUCACACACACUGCUGUGCUUUUUCCCAACUUACUAAGACUCCCUCACAGAGAAAACAUCACAAAAAAAAGAUGGUGGUCCAUCUGCAAGAUUCAGAUUAGUGGGCGUGUCUUGGUACCCGUGUAUGAACCCGAAGACACGCCUUUUCUAUGUUUCUGAGCAGGUCAAAUAAAUCCGUCAGUAUGAUAAGGUUUUCUCCUGUCAUUAACAAUAUUUGUGAAAAUACCUGACUAUUUCCACACCCGAGCUCAGAGACACACCUCACGUUCCCAUAUAUGGUCUCGGACAAUCCCACAUUUCCAUACAAGAACUCAAUAGACACACUCAAAUCUCCACAGGUGAACUGAGAGAUGAGCCAAUCCAUGUUUGAUUCCUAAGACACGCCCAUAUUUUCCAUAUAUGGUCUUCAAAUCACACCCAUCGAAGACGCUUCCAUUUCAAUAUAUGAGUUCCGAGACAUGUCUAUAUUAGCAUGUAUGGACUCACAUUCCUGCUUAUACGUCCAUGUCGGAUUUAAGUCUCCUCUAUUUUCAUAUAUAGACACAGAGUUUCAGAUAUUCCGCCAUAUAUGGACACAGUCUCAACAAAUAUACAUAUAUGGAUUCGGGUCCUGCCUAUAGUGCCAUAUAUGGACAUAAGCUCACCUAUAUUGAAGUAUAUAUAGACUCAAAGUUUCAGCUAUACUUCCAUAAAUGGACGCAACGUCCAGCAAUAUUUCCAAAUCUGCACUCCAGUCUCAAUUCUACUUCUAUAUAUGGACUCGAGUCCCACCUGGAUUUCCAUAUUCCGACACAGUCACACCUACAUUGAAGUAUAUGGACUCUAAGGUUCAGCUAUACUUCCAUAUUUGGACGCCAUCCUAUAUUUCCAUAUCUCAACUCUAGUCCCACUUCUACUUCCACAUAUGGACUCAUGUCCCGCCGGUAUUUCCAUAUAUGGACACAUAAAUGGAACUAUAUAGACUCAAGAUUCCAUACUUCCUAUAUACUAUAUAUAUAUGGACUAAAUAUGGAUUAAAGUCCCGCCUCAAUUUCCAUAUCUGGACUCCAAUGAUCAGCUAUAUUUCCCUAUAUGGCCUCAAAGCCCCGCCCAUAUUUCCGUAUAUGUACUCCUUUUUCUCUGAACGCCUAGAUGUCAAACUCUAAUUUUGUGCUCUAAACAUGAAGCUCCUCCCACAUUACCAUAAAACCCCGCCCACUCCGCUGACCUCCGAGCCGGCCGUUAUGAGAGGAAGGAGAAUGUUUGGCCUGUGCUGAUGGUGACAGACCACGCAGCUGGCAUGUAUGCGUCUGUGUGUGUGUGUGUGUGUGUGUGUGUGUGUGUGUGCGUGCGCUGAAAGUGCGAUGGUGCCGGGAGUGGGAGUGUGAACGAGUGGGAGUGUGACAGCUCGUGCAUGCCUGUUAAGCGUGUGUGUGUUGGCAAGUUGUGUUCUGUUUGAUUAGCCAAUGAUAGGGGAUGAAAGCCAGAUCAUCAAGAGGAGUUUGAUCAGCUGCGGAGAACACACACACUAUCAUCCACGCUGACACACACACACACACACACACACACACACACCAUCAUCUACUCUGACAUACGCACCGUCAUCCAUGAUGUGACUGUGACGAGAAAAAGAACUCGGGUUAAUGAAAGACCGAUUACUCAGUCUAAUUAUCCAUUCUCUCUCUCUCUCUCUCUGUAUAUCUAUCUGUUAUGUCUUUUACUUUAUCUCUCUCUCUCUCUCUCUCUCUCUCUCUCUCUCUCUCACUCUGUGACCUUGUGCUGUCAGCUGUUUUAACAAGGCUUAAACGAACACACCAGUUGUGUGUACAUGGGGUGUGCACUGCCCAUGUAGCAUGAGCUAUGAUAUGAUACGCUGGUACAUGCCAACACACACACACACACACACACACACACACACACACACACACACACACAAUUUCAGCGAAAUCAAUAUUUUUUUAUUGAGGAAUCCAUUAUGUCAAGAACUCUUGACGUGCACCUGAAAGGAAAGCAAGUGAAAGCAUCGGAGCGUCUCCGGGUUCCCGCAGUCCGCUUUCCCAUGAACCCUCACUGCGUCGCGAGAAUGCGGCAGUCAUAAUUUCAUCUACAGCCUCAAGUACAACCCUGAUGUCACUAUUACAACUCAAAAUGUAAUUAAAGAUCUAUAAUGAGCAAUUUGUGUAAUCUGGUCACCCAAGGAAAGCGUUAAAAACAGCUCGCCCCACUCACACACCACCUACGCCUUUGUUUGGCGUCUUGUUUUUUGCUGAAAAACCUCCUUCCUGCGAGCCUUUGAGAAGUUUAAUCACCUCUCCUUCUUUCUCUCUCUCUCUCUCCCUCUCCCUCCUUCUCUCUCUCCCCCUCUCCCGCCUUCUCUCGCUCUCCCUUCUCUCUCCCCACCGCUGUGCCGCGGAGUCGUGUUGGCGUGACGGGGUGGAAAAGGUCACUCCUGUUUCUUCGUUUUCGGGGCAAGUGGAGCGAGGGAAGAGGAGGAGCGAGGAGGAGGGCAGAAGCAGGUAGAGGCCUCUCUGCACUCGUCCGCUGUUCUGUCGGUUCUGUGGACCGAGCGCUAAUGGGGCGUCACGCUGAGCUGGCGCAGAGCACGCCUGCUGCUGCUGCUGUACAUUAUGGGAAACACACCUUCACACACACACACACACACACACACACAGAGAGAGAGAGAAGGCCGAUCGAUGCAGUAAGAGAUGCGGAAUUGCGCGCGUGUGUGUGCGUGUGUGAGAGGAAAAAACAGAGCCAACAGCAACACAAAGACAAAUUUGAUAUUUUUUUUAUGAUCCACUCGACACAAUUACACCACAGGAGCAUUUUCUCCAUUCUCAUGAUGUGUGUGUGUGUGUGUGUGUGACCCCAGUGCACGAUGUGUGAUGAAAUAUCAAAUCUCCACAAAGAUAUACACACGGUGUAAGACAAGAACAAUACAACAAAUUACACAACACACACACACACACACACACACACACACACACACACGCUCCAGAAGCGAAGAUGUACUCAUGGGAAAUAUUCGAUAGUCGUUUACUACUCAGGUGGCCGAUCAAUUCUCAAAAUAAUUAUGACAGACAAGUUAAUCUGCAGGAUUUCUACAAUCUCAACGGUACUCUUUCACUUCCUGUGGUUCCUGCUUCUCUACACAGACUCCGCCCACUAAAAAAAACUCGUGUAAUAUUCCUUUUCAGCCAGUUUUGUGAUAGCUCCGCCCAUCGGAACCUUUACACUUUCCCCGUUAACCCUUCGCCUAACCGAACCCUAGGUGAAAUAAAUUCCAUUCUAAUUUGGAGAUAUCGUUUCAGAUUGUCAGCCUCCUCAGCCAAUCAGAUUCGCCUCGUAUCUGGCCUCCAUUUACGCAAGCGCGCGUUUUACAUACGGGACGUCUGAGUCGGGGAGAUUAAAAAAAUAAAGUCAGAACUCGGCAAUUAAUCAUCGUUUGGUUGGAUAUAGUGAUACGGUGGGGUAGACAAAGAGCAUAUGGAGAGUGAGACCGUCAGAGUGAGGCAAAGAGUGAGACAGAAAGAGUGAAACAGAUACAGUGAGGUAGACAAAGAGCAUACGGAGAGUGAGGCAAAGAGUGAGACAGAAAAAAGUGAAACAGGUACAGUGAGGUAGAUAAAGAGCAUACAGAGAGUGAGACAGUCAGAGUGAGGCAAAGAGUGAGACAGAGUGAAACAGAUACAGUGAGGUAGACAAAGAGCACACAGAGAGUGAGACAGUCAGAGUGAGACGGGAAAAAGUGAAACAGGUACAGUGAGGUAGACAAAGAGCAUACAGAGAGUGAGACAGUCAGAGUGAGACAGUCAGACUGAGACAGAAAAAAGUGAAACAGGUACAGUGAGGUAGAAAAAGAGCAUACAGAGAGUGAGACAGUCAGAAUGAGGCAAAGAGUGAGACAGAAAAAAGUGAAACAGGUACAGUGAGGUAGACAAAGAGCAUACAGAGAGUGAGACAGUCAGAAUGAGGCAAAGAGUGAGACAGAAAAAAGUGAAACAGAUACAUUGAGGUAGAAAAAGAGCAUACAGAGAGUGAGACAGUCAGAGUGAGACAGUCAGAGUGAGACAGGAAAAAGUGAAACAGGUACAGUGAGGUAGAAAAAGAGCAUACAGAGAGUGAGACAGUCAGAGUGAGGCAAAGAGUGAGACAGAGUGAAACAGAUACAGUGAGGUAGACAAAGAGCACACAGAGAGUGAGACAGUCAGAGUGAGACAGAAAAAAGUGAAACAGAUACAUUGAGGUAGAAAAAGAGCAUACAGAGAGUGAGACAGUCAGAGUGAGACAGUCAGAGUGAGACAGAAAAAAGUGAAACAGGUACAGUGAGGUAGAAAAAGAGCACACAGAGAGUGAGACAGUCAGAGUGAGACAGUCAGAGUGAGACGGGAAAAAGUGAAACAGGUACAGUGAGGUAGACGAAGAGCACACAGAGAGUGAGACAGUCAGAGUGAGACAGUCAGAGUGAGACAGGAAAAAGUGAAACAGGUACAGUGAGGUAGACGAAGAGCACACAGAGAGUGAGACAGUCAGAGUGAGACAGUCAGAGUGAGACAGGAAAAAGUGAAACAGGUACGGUGAGGUAGACGAAGAGCACACAGAGAGUGAGACAGUCAGAGUGAGACAGUCAGAGUGAGACAGUCAGAGUGAGACAGGAAAAAGUGAAACAGGUACAGUGAGGUAGACGAAGAGCAUACAGAGAGUGAGACAGUCAGAGUGAGACAGUCAGAGUGAGACAGGAAAAAGUGAAACAGGUACAGUGAGGUAGACGAAGAGCACACAGAGAGUCACAUAUGGACCGGUUUCACUGAUCGACACGGACGUAUUUCAUGAAUCUGCUCUGUAUUCAUCGUGUUUCUCAGGUCUAAGACCGUGAAGAUCGGACUUGCGUUCUCGUGAAGUCUGUGAAGAACCGGUCUUGCCCGGCUACCUUGGAAGAACGACCUUCACGCAUCUUUGCGAGAACUGAGAUGUGCUGCGCGCUUCCUGCUGCGCGGUGCACCGUCCCAGCACAUCUCUCGUAGAGGGACAGGACCGUCGUCUCUUCAUUGCUGCCGGAGUAAUAUGUUUCAGCCGCUUAACAGAUUCGCUCUUACACGGCUGAUUAACCGGAAGUUAAUUAAGACCAGUUUAAUGUAGUAAGCUCGCUGCGACCUCACGUUAACUAAAAACGAAGCUGAGGAGUUUCCCGUCUCCUCAGGGUGGACGCUAGCGUUGAUUAAUUCAAAUAUUUCGGAGAGAUAGAUUCCACUUUUCAACCAGCUCAUAUAUAUCUCAAUCUAAAUCUUAUCUCACAUGCGUUCUUUUACGAUGCAUCUUUGGAUUAUUGUCUGUAAAGAGACGUUAAAAGUGUCAUGUGACCGCCGCUUUCGUCACGGGGCAGGCUUCAGAGAGAGAGAGAGAGAGAGAGAGAGAGAGAGAGAGAGAGAGACGGAGGGUUCGAUAUAGUGAGGUAGACAAAGAGCAUCUAGAGAGUGAGACAGAAAAAGCGUGAGCUGGAUAGUGAGACAUAGAAAGAGAGUAAGGCAAAGAGUGAGACAGACAAAGAAUGAGACAGAAUGUGAGACAGACAAAGAAUGAGACAGAGAGUGAGACAGACAAAGAGCAUCUAGAGAGUGAGACAGAAAAAGAAUGAGCUGGAUAGUGAGACAUAGAAAGAGAGUAAGGCAAAGAGUGAGACAGACAAAGAAUGAGACAGAAUGUGAGACAGACAAAGAAUGAGACAGAGAGUGAGACAGACAAAGAGCAUCCAGAGAGUGAGACAGAAAAAGAAUGAGCUGGAUAGUGAGACAUAGAAAGAGAGUAAGGCAAAGAGUGAGACAGACAAAGAAUGAGACAGAGAGUGAGACAGACAAAAGAGCAUAUAGAGAGUGAGACGGAUAGUAAGACAGAGAGAGUGAGACAAAGACUGAGAGAGAAAAAAGUGAAACAUAUAGUGAGGUAGACAAAGAGCGUAUAGAGGGCGAGACAGAAAAACAGUGAGCUGGAUAAUAGACAGAGACAGAGAGACAGAGAGUGAGACAGACAAAGCACAUAGAGAGUGAGACGGAUAGAGAGAGAGAUGCAAAGAGUGAGAUAGGGAGUGAGACAGGCAAAGAAUGAGACUAAGUAUGAGGCAGAAAAGGAGCAAGAUAGAGUGAGGCAAAGAGUGAGACAGGUAUAUAUAUAGAGACAGAUGCAAAGAGUGAGACAGGGAGUGAGACGAAGUGUGAGGUAGAAAAAGAGUGAGACAAAGAAUGUGAGAGAGUGAGGUACAGCGUGAGGCACAAAAAAAAGAGAGCGGCAGAGAGUGAGACCAAAAGAGUGCAGUAGAGUGAGGCAGAAAGAGUGAGACAGAGAGCGAGACAGAAAAAAACCCUCUUUCUCUCAUCCUCGCUAACUAGCGUUUAACUGAGCAGCUAGCGUAUCAUUUACCUCCUGCCUGCUCACACGGAUGCACGUGUGCAGGUGUUUCACACGCCACACACUCAAUCUAAUCCAUUACACGACAAGAUAAACAACUUUAAACCUUCAACGGAAACAAGACCUCAGCUACGCUAAGCUAGCUGUCUUCAUCCGUGUCUGAGAGAAACUGAAGAAGACGCGCUUUUGGCUAAUGUGAGCGAGUGGUGCGGUGGAGUGUAAUCUAACGCAACGCCUCAUAAUCCGGUCAUCGGGGUUCAAAUCUAGACGACGCCUCUGUGUUGCUUCCACGCAUUUCCUUCACACCUCCAUUUACCUUCCUAAGGUUGAAGAAAAGCAUGUUGCGAGCACAUAAUCUAGUUGUGUUAGUCUAAAAAUUACCGGGCUAAUUUAAGAGCCAUUACAGCAAUAUACUAUAAUCUACUCCACUUUUACAGCCAUUAUGGAUCCAGUGUCUUAUUUCUAAACCGGUGUCUAUGAGCUUCCCUCGCUCGUUAGCCUGUACACGCCAGUCUAAAGACGUGAGAGCAAACAUCUGGCAUCGAGCUUGUACCUGUUCUUAAAUAUCAGACGAGUGGAUUAUGUUACACACGCUGCGUUAAAGUUAAGUCGAUUCAAUUUCCUGUCUAGUCCAGCCUUCAUCGUCAUUACUGUCCUCGUCGUCAUCAUCAUCAGCGUUAUCGUCAGAGAGAGAGAGAGACAGACAGAGAGAGACAGACAGAG
Ictalurus punctatus (channel catfish) is the source of this 8268-nucleotide long non-coding RNA. The record is from Ensembl. Lineage: Eukaryota; Metazoa; Chordata; Actinopteri; Siluriformes; Ictaluridae.